Molecule: ribosomal RNA, 269 nt
Filed under: uncultured bacterium
Lineage: Bacteria
Description: partial 16S ribosomal RNA
Rfam family: Bacterial small subunit ribosomal RNA
Source: RNAcentral
GUCCACGCCGUAAACGAUGCACAUUAGACCGGUGCGGUUUUGACGCCGUAUCGGUCGUAGGAAAACUGAUAAAUGUGCCGCCUGGGGAGUACGGUCGCAAGGCUAAAACUCAAAUGAAUUGACGGGGGCUCACACAAGCGGUGGAGCAUGUUGCUUAAUUCGAGGCAACGCGAAGAACCUUACCUGGGUUUGACAUGCUUGGAUUAACCUCUUGAAAAAGAGGCCACACCCUCUGGGUGGAACAAGCACAGGUGCUGCAUGGCUGUCGU